RNAcentral lists this ribosomal RNA (849 nucleotides) under human gut metagenome. Its description in RNAcentral is "bacterial SSU rRNA". It matches the Rfam family "Bacterial small subunit ribosomal RNA", at positions 29 to 831 of the family's 1533-position model. The record is from RNAcentral.
AUGAACGCUGGCGGCAUGCCUAAGACAUGCAAGUCGAACGAAGUGGUCCAAUGAAGAUGGAGUGCUUGCACAAAAUCAGAUUUGGAUUGCCACUUAGUGGCGAAAGGGUGAGUAACACGUAGGUUAUCUACCUUUAAGACUGGAAUAACAAUUAGAAAUGAUUGCUAAUACCGGAUGAUAUAUAGAGUGAUACGUUACUUUAUAUUAAAAGGAGCCUUUAAAGCUUCACUUAAAGAUGAGCCUGCGACGUAUUAGCUAGUUGGUGGGGUAAAGGCCUACCAAGGCGACGAUGCGUAGCCGACCUGAGAGGGUGAUCGGCCACACUGGGACUGAGACACGGCCCAGACUCCUACGGGAGACAGCAGUUAGGAAUAUUCGUCAAUGGAGGGAACUCUGAACGAGCAAUGCCGCGUGAAGGAUGACGGUCCUUUGGAUUGUAAACUUCUGUUGUUAGGAACGAAAAACUUGAGUAGGAAAUGACUUAAGCUUGACGGUACCUUUCAAGAAAGCUCCGGCUAACUACGUGCCAGCAGCCGCGGUAAUACGUAGGGAGCGAGCGUUAUCCGGAUUUAUUGGGUGUAAAGCGUGCGUAGGCGGUUUCUUAAGUCUGUAGUCUAAGCCUGGAGCUCAACUCCAGUUCGCCAUGGAAACUGAGUUACUUGAGUAUGGUAGAGGCAAGUGGAAUUUCUAGUGUAGCGGUGGAAUGCGUAGAUAUUAGAAGGAACACCAGUGGCGAAGGCGGCUUGCUGGGCCAUUACUGACGCUGAGACACGAAAGCGUGGGGAGCGAAUAGGAUUAGAUACCCUAGUAGUCCACGCCGUAAACGAUGGAUACUAAGUGUCGGAGGAU